AUCAGUAUUAUGUAAAAUGGGAAAUAUAAGAUUUUCUUCAUACUGCUCCUUUUUGAGCAUGGCUGUGUAAAUGUUUGUUCACCUGAUGAUUACUGAAUGUCUGCAGAUGAAAUGCACAAACAUGAACAA
Molecule: long non-coding RNA, 129 nt
Organism: Sphaeramia orbicularis (orbiculate cardinalfish)
Lineage: Eukaryota; Metazoa; Chordata; Actinopteri; Kurtiformes; Apogonidae
Exons: 3
Source: RefSeq, a predicted model, not a curated record